RNAcentral lists this ribosomal RNA (491 nucleotides) under uncultured bacterium. Its description in RNAcentral is "partial 16S ribosomal RNA". It matches the Rfam family "Bacterial small subunit ribosomal RNA", at positions 29 to 506 of the family's 1533-position model. The record is from RNAcentral.
AGUGAACGCUGGCGGUAGGCCUAACACAUGCAAGUCGAACGGCAGCACAGUAAGAGCUUGCUCUUACGGGUGGCGAGUGGCGGACGGGUGAGGAAUACAUCGGAAUCUACUUUUUCGUGGGGGAUAACGUAGGGAAACUUACGCUAAUACCGCAUACGACCUACGGGUGAAAGCAGGGGAUCUUCGGACCUUGCGCGAUUGAAUGAGCCGAUGUCGGAUUAGCUAGUUGGCGGGGUAAAGGCCCACCAAGGCGACGAUCCGUAGCUGGUCUGACAGGAUGAUCAGCCACACUGGAACUGAGACACGGUCCAGACUCCUACGGGAGGCAGCAGUGGGGAAUAUUGGACAAUGGGCGCAAGCCUGAUCCAGCCAUACCGCGUGGGUGAAGAAGGCCUGCGGGUUGUAAAGCCCUUUUGUUGGGAAAGAAAAGCAGCAGGUUAAUACCCCGCUGUUCUGACGGUACCCAAAGAAUAAGCACCGGCUAACUUCGU